CGUGCAGCCGGGCAUGCAAGUCAGAUGUGAAAUCUCAGGGCUUAACCCUGAAACUGCAUUUGAAACUGUAUGUCUUGAGUGCCGGAGAGGUAAUCGGAAUUCCUUGUGUAGCGGUGAAAUGCGUAGAUAUAAGGAAGAACACCAGUGGCGAAGGCGGAUUACUGGACGGUAACUGACGGUGAGGCGCGAAAGCGUGGGGAGCGAACA
RNAcentral lists this ribosomal RNA (207 nucleotides) under uncultured bacterium. Its description in RNAcentral is "partial 16S ribosomal RNA". It matches the Rfam family "Bacterial small subunit ribosomal RNA", at positions 568 to 774 of the family's 1533-position model. The record is from RNAcentral.